GCUAAUACAUGCAAGUCGAGCGAAUGGAUUAAGAGCUUGCUCUUAUGAAGUUAGCGGCGGACGGGUGAGUAACACGUGGGUAACCUGCCCAUAAGACUGGGAUAACUCCGGGAAACCGGGGCUAAUACCGGAUAACAUUUUGAACCGCAUGGUUCGAAAUUGAAAGGCGGCUUCGGCUGUCACUUAUGGAUGGACCCGCGUCGCAUUAGCUAGUUGGUGAGGUAACGGCUCACCAAGGCAACGAUGCGUAGCCGACCUGAGAGGGUGAUCGGCCACACUGGGACUGAGACACGGCCCAGACUCCUACGGGAGGCAGCAGUAGGGAAUCUUCCGCAAUGGACGAAAGUCUGACGGAGCAACGCCGCGUGAGUGAUGAAGGCUUUCGGGUCGUAAAACUCUGUUGUUAGGGAAGAACAAGUGCUAGUUGAAUAAGCUGGCACCUUGACGGUACCUAACCAGAAAGCCACGGCUAACUACGUGCCAGCAGCCGCGGUAAUACGUAGGUGGCAAGCGUUAUCCGGAAUUAUUGGGCGUAAAGCGCGCGCAGGUGGUUUCUUAAGUCUGAUGUGAAAGCCCACGGCUCAACCGUGGAGGGUCAUUGGAAACUGGGAGACUUGAGUGCAGAAGAGGAAAGUGGAAUUCCAUGUGUAGCGGUGAAAUGCGUAGAGAUAUGGAGGAACACCAGUGGCGAAGGCGACUUUCUGGUCUGUAACUGACACUGAGGCGCGAAA
This 731-nucleotide ribosomal RNA is filed under the name Bacillus thuringiensis. Its description in RNAcentral is "bacterial SSU rRNA". It matches the Rfam family "Bacterial small subunit ribosomal RNA", at positions 46 to 758 of the family's 1533-position model. The record is from RNAcentral. Lineage: Bacteria; Bacillati; Bacillota; Bacilli; Caryophanales; Bacillaceae.